Molecule: ribosomal RNA, 253 nt
Filed under: uncultured bacterium
Lineage: Bacteria
Description: partial 16S ribosomal RNA
Rfam family: Bacterial small subunit ribosomal RNA
Source: RNAcentral
UACAGAGGGGGCAAGCGUUGUUCGGAAUUACUGGGCGUAAAGGGCGCGUAGGCGGCCCGCUAAGUCGAACGUGAAAUCCCCAGGCUCAACCCGGGAAUUGCAUUCGAUACUGGCGAGCUAGAGUACGGUAGAGGGCGGCGGAAUUCCGGGUGUAGCGGUGAAAUGCGUAGAUAUCCGGAAGAACACCGGUGGCGAAGGCGGCCUGCUGGGCAGUAGCUGACGCUGAGGCGCGACAGCGUGGGGAGCAAACAGG